AUGCACGCUGGCGGCGUGCCUAAUCCAUUCAAGUCGCGCGAACGGACGAGAAUCUUUCUUCUCUUAUGUUAUCGGCGUACUGUUUAGUAACUCUUUGAUAACCUACCUAUAAUUCUUUGUUUACUUCGGUAAACCUUUUCUAAUUCCUGUUAAUUUUUUUAACCGCCUUUUUCAAAAGUUAUAGACGGUCUUUCUUUUACUUAUAUAUUUAUCCCCGCUGCAUUAGCUAGUUGGUAAGGUAACGGCUUACCAAGGCAACGAUGCAUAGCCGACCUGAGAGGGUGAGCGGCGAAACUGGAACUGAGACACGGACAAGACUACUACGGGAGGAAGCAGUAGGGAAGCUUCCGCAAUGGGCGAAAGCCUGACGGAGCAACGCCGCGUGAGUGAAGAAGGUCUUCGGAUCGGAAAACUCUGUUAUUAGGGAAGAAAAAAUGUGGAAGUAAAUGUGAACAGAUUGACGGUAACUAAUAAGAAAGCAACGGCUAACGACGUG
Molecule: ribosomal RNA, 496 nt
Filed under: uncultured bacterium
Lineage: Bacteria
Description: partial 16S ribosomal RNA
Rfam family: Bacterial small subunit ribosomal RNA
Source: RNAcentral